UUCUUCUGCUCAGUAGGAUGUAUAUCAACAAGAGGAUGAGCACACCAGCUCACUCAAAACUUUAAGGAACCCACCUGGACGCGGUGGCUCACGCCACCUGUAAUCCCAGCACUUUGGGAGUUCGAGGUGGGCAGAUCACCUGAGGUCAGGAGUUCCAGACCAGCCUGGCCAACAUGGUGAAACCCCAUCUCCACUAAAAAUACAAAACUUAGCCGGGCAUGGUAGCGUGCACCUGUAGUCCCAACCACUUGGGGAGGCUGAAGCAGGAGAAUCACUUGAACCCGGAGGCAGAGGGUGCAGUGAGCCGAGAUCAUGCCACUGCACUCCAGCCUGGGUGACAGAGCAAGACUCCAUCUCAAAAAAAAACACGAGACAAAACAAAAAACUUUCAGGAACCUACUCACCUGCCUAAUUAGUGGAAAUGUUUCUGGGGCCACAGGGCCACAAUGCACAGUUGCACACGUUGGGCACUGCCCAACCCAAAAGGAGUACAUUUAUACAGACUUGGACAUGACUGGCAUCUUCCCGAGAAUCAGGCAGUGUGUAAUCUGUGCGGUGGCGCCUGGCAGUCAGGCUCAUCAUGAAAUUGCUGUGUUUCUAAGUAAAAGAGCUUCUUGAGAAGAGACAAGGAAGUUUGUGAGAAACACGUCAGCUUUCGUGGCCUCUGAAGGUCAAGUGAAAUCUGGCGUUUAAACAGAGGCCAGAGUCACUUGCACAUCCUGUGUUUUCUUUCUGAGAAGAAAAGCUUGGCCAGGGAAAUGUCAGCUCCAAGGUACACCCAGCUGGUUCACUGCAAGACGACCACCCACGUUGUUCUGUCUUCACAUAUUCCAGGCAGUGGGAAGUCUCACCGGGAUUAAGGCCACCACCCUCCCCCCACUGCCGCCUCCCCUGUCAUGCACAUGGGGGAGGGCCUGACUCCUCUUAGCCCGGGCAGACCACCCUACUUUAUUUGGCCUUGGGGCCAGCGGACAGGCCUUCCAGGGCUGCCACCUUGGUCCCCAGUGGCACCGCACUACACACCAGGCAUCUGCAGUCGGCAUGACUUUCUCCGGGAUUGCACAAACAGGACCUCUCUCCAGCGACUCCAUGGAGCAGGUCUCGAGAGCCCCAGACCUAGGUUUCAAUCUCAGCAGUGCCGCUGGCUGACCAUGGGACGUUCGGCAAGUCACUUUACCUCCCUCAGCCUCUGCUUUUAUCUCUGCUAAGUGGGAACUAGGAGACUGACCUCUCAAGGCUGCCAGAAAGGACAGAGGGGUGUGUAUAGAGUCCCUGGCCCAUCCUUAGGGAGAUGAGGGGAAAAACGUACACCCACUCGCACAUUCACACACACACACACACACACUCCUAACCAGGUUUUUUUUUUUUUUGAGAUGGAGUUUCCACUCUUGUUGCCUAGGCUGGAGUGCAAUGGCGUGAUGAUCACGGCUCACUGCAACCUCCACUUACUGGGCUCAAGUGAUUCUCCUGCCUCAGCCUCCCAAAUAGCUGGGAUUACAGGCACCUGCCACCACGUCCAGCUAAUUUUUUUGUAUUUUUAGUGGAGAUGGGGUUUUGCCAUGUUGGCCAGUCUGGUCUCAAACUCCUGUCCUGAGGUGAUCCACCUGCCUCGGCCUCCCAAAGUGCUGGGAUUACAGGUGUGAACCACCGCACUGGCCCUAAUCAGGUUUCAAAUCCUCCUCUACCCAUCCUAGGCCAGCCUGUCUCACUGAUUUUUUUGUUUAAGAACAAUAUCUAAAAUGCAAAAAAAAAAAAAAAAA
Macaca fascicularis (crab-eating macaque) is the source of this 1760-nucleotide long non-coding RNA. Lineage: Eukaryota; Metazoa; Chordata; Mammalia; Primates; Cercopithecidae. The record is from Ensembl.